RNAcentral lists this ribosomal RNA (369 nucleotides) under Triticum aestivum (bread wheat). Its description in RNAcentral is "partial small subunit ribosomal RNA". The record is from RNAcentral. Lineage: Eukaryota; Viridiplantae; Streptophyta; Magnoliopsida; Poales; Poaceae.
AUGUCAUUGAAACAAAUCUGUUUUGUCUCUGUUUUCUUUUCGGAUGAUGAGGAUGAGCCAGCCGAUCCUAACAUAAUUUUGAAGGAGCCGGACGACGAAGCCUCAAAAUCAGAUAAAGAUGUCUCCAACGCGACCGGACUUCCACUAGAUUUUUAUAGGGGUCAGGAGGAAAAAGAUAUGCUGUUUUCUAUCAGUCCCAAGCGGAUACUCCCCAGCUUCCAUGGUCCGCUUACCGAGGAAGAGAUGCGGGAGGACCCAGGGCCAGAGCAAGUUGGGUUGGGGUAUAGAGCCGUAAGCGCGGUGGGGGUGACAGAGCAUGUACCCAUUGCUAUCGUGAAUUGUACACUAAUUAGAGGGUUUUUACCUUAA